Molecule: ribosomal RNA, 484 nt
Filed under: uncultured bacterium
Lineage: Bacteria
Description: partial 16S ribosomal RNA
Rfam family: Bacterial small subunit ribosomal RNA
Source: RNAcentral
AUUGAACGCUGGCGGCAUGCUUUACACAUGCAAGUCGAACGGCAGCGCGGGCUUCGGCCUGGCGGCGAGUGGCGAACGGGUGAGUAAUGCAUCGGAACGUGCCCAGUAGUGUGGGAUAGCCCGGCGAAAGCCGGAUUAAUACCGCAUACGACCUGAGGGUGAAAGCGGGGGACCGAAAGGCCUCGCGCUAUUGGAGCGGCCGAUGUCGGAUUAGCUAGUUGGUGGGGUAAAGGCCCACCAAGGCGACGAUCCGUAGCUGGGAUGAGAGGAUGAGCAGCCACACUGGAACUGAGACACGGGCCAGACUCCUACGGGAGGCAGCAGUGGGGACGAUGGGACAAUGGGAGCAGUCCUGAUCCAGCCAUACCGCGUGGGUGAAGAAGGCCUUCGGGUUGUAAAGCCCUUUUGUUGGGAAAGAAAAGCAGCAGGUUAAUACCCCGCUGUUCUGACGGUACCCAAAGAAUAAGCACCGGCUAACUUCGUG